This 253-nucleotide ribosomal RNA is filed under the name uncultured bacterium. RNAcentral describes it as "partial 16S ribosomal RNA". It matches the Rfam family "Bacterial small subunit ribosomal RNA", at positions 524 to 776 of the family's 1533-position model. The record is from RNAcentral.
UACGAAGGAUCCAAGCGUUAUCCGGAUUUAUUGGGUUUAAAGGGUGCGUAGGCGGCUUUUUAAGUCAGGGGUGAAAUCCUGGAGCUCAACUCCAGAACUGCCCUUGAUACUGGAGAGCUUGAGUCCGGAAGAGGUGAGUGGAACUCCGAGUGUAGAGGUGAAAUUCGUAGAUAUUCGGAAGAACACCAGUGGCGAAGGCGGCUCACUGGUCCGGUACUGACGCUGAUGUGCGAAAGCGUGGGGAGCAAACAGG